UACGUAGGGUGCGAGCGUUAAUCGGAAUUACUGGGCGUAAAGUGUGCGCAGGUGGCUGAGCAAGUCGAGUGUGAAAGCCCCGGGCUUAACCUGGGGAUUGCGCUCGAAACUACUUGGCUGGAGUAUGGCAGAGGGAGGUGGAAUUCCACGUGUAGCGGUGAAAUGCGUAGAGAUGUGGAGGAACACCAAUGGCGAAGGCAGCCUCCUGGGCCAAUACUGACACUCAUGCACGAAAGCGUGGGGAGCAAACAGG
RNAcentral lists this ribosomal RNA (253 nucleotides) under uncultured bacterium. Its description in RNAcentral is "partial 16S ribosomal RNA". It matches the Rfam family "Bacterial small subunit ribosomal RNA", at positions 524 to 776 of the family's 1533-position model. The record is from RNAcentral.